UUUUUGGCAACCUUUUAGAAUUAAACCAAAUCUGUUGGUCUCGAGCAUCACUGAAGAGACAUUUAUGGUCGAAAUCCUCGUCUGGUGCUGAAAAAAUGGUAGCGUUAUUGUGUUGCUCAUCAUUUGUUCAUGUUUACAUAUUUCUUCAUGUAAUUUAAAAAAAAAAAUAAGUUAUUAAAAAGUACAAUUGAGAAUGGAAAGGGGGAAUGUGUCAACGAGACAACAAUCCG
This 230-nucleotide long non-coding RNA is filed under the name Mytilus galloprovincialis (Mediterranean mussel). The record is from RNAcentral. Lineage: Eukaryota; Metazoa; Mollusca; Bivalvia; Mytilida; Mytilidae.